This is a microRNA precursor of Petromyzon marinus (sea lamprey), 79 nucleotides long. Ensembl annotates it as pma-mir-218a-1. Its record names the gene pma-mir-218a-1. The record is from Ensembl. Lineage: Eukaryota; Metazoa; Chordata; Hyperoartia; Petromyzontiformes; Petromyzontidae.
GCCGUCCCUGCCUUGUGCUUGAUCUAACCAUGUGCUGCCCCAAACAACAUGGUUUGUUCAUGCACCAGGUAGAGGCAUG